This 19-nucleotide ribosomal RNA is filed under the name Streptococcus pneumoniae GA02270. The record is from RNAcentral. Lineage: Bacteria; Bacillati; Bacillota; Bacilli; Lactobacillales; Streptococcaceae.
GGUAACGAUCGUACCGGUU